ACGGGGGCCCGCACAGGCGGUGGAGCAUGUGGUUUAAUUCGAUGAUACGCGAGGAACCUUACCAGGUCUUGACAUCCCCCGCGAUGCUUUAGAGAUAAAGCGGAGGUAUUCGGGGAGACAGGUGGUGCAUGGUUGUCGUCAGCUCGUGUCGUGAGAUGUUGGGUUAAGUCCCGCAACGAGCGCAACCCUUGUGUUUUAGUUGCAAACAGGUCAAGCUGUGCACUCUAGACAGACUGCCGUGGACAACACGGAGGAAGGUGGGGAUGACGUCAAAUCAUCAUGCCCCUUAUGAUCUGGGCUACACACGUGCUACAAUGGCCGGUACAACGGGCAGCGAAGGAGCGAUCCGGAGCGAAUCCUAAAAAGCCGGUCCCAGUUCGGAUUGCAGGCUGAAACUCGCCUACAUGAAGUUGGAGUUGCUAGUAAUCGCGAAUCAGAAUGUCGCGGUGAAUGCGUUCCCGGGUCUU
RNAcentral lists this ribosomal RNA (467 nucleotides) under uncultured Fusibacter sp. Its description in RNAcentral is "bacterial SSU rRNA". It matches the Rfam family "Bacterial small subunit ribosomal RNA", at positions 913 to 1382 of the family's 1533-position model. The record is from RNAcentral. Lineage: Bacteria; Bacillati; Bacillota; Clostridia; Eubacteriales; Fusibacteraceae.